CCUACGGGAGGCAGCAGUGGGGAAUAUUGGGCAAUGGGCGCAAGCCUGACCCAGCAACGCCGCGUGAAGGAAGAAGGCUUUCGGGUUGUAAACUUCUUUUAAGGGGGAAGAGCAGAAGACGGUACCCCUUGAAUAAGCCACGGCUAACUACGUGCCAGCAGCCGCGGUAAUACGUAGGUGGCAAGCGGUGUCCGGAUUUACUGGGUGUAAAGGGCGUGCAGCCGGAGAGACAAGUCAGAUGUGAAAUCCACGGGCUCAACCCGUGAACUGCAUUUGAAACUGUUUCCCUUGAGUGUCGGAGAGGUAAUCGGAAUUCCUUGUGUAGCGUUGAAAUGCGUAGAUAUAAGGAAGAACACCAGUGGCGAAGGCGGAUUACUGGACGAUAACUGACGGUGAGGCGCGAAAGCGUGGGGAGCAAACAGGAUUAGAUACCCGUGUAGUC
Molecule: ribosomal RNA, 442 nt
Filed under: uncultured bacterium
Lineage: Bacteria
Description: partial 16S ribosomal RNA
Rfam family: Bacterial small subunit ribosomal RNA
Source: RNAcentral